Molecule: long non-coding RNA, 215 nt
Filed under: Mytilus galloprovincialis (Mediterranean mussel)
Lineage: Eukaryota; Metazoa; Mollusca; Bivalvia; Mytilida; Mytilidae
Source: RNAcentral
CGCCUUUUCAUUUUAUAGAUCGUUUAUCGAAGCUAGAAAAAAAAUAAUUACACCACUGGAUUCAGUACCUUGAAUUGUUUUGUCAGACAUGCAUAAUUGUUAUGAUAAAAAUAUAUUUAAAAAGUUAUACAAUGAAACAUACUGAACUUGCAAUGCUUUUCUCGAUAACACCUGAUUAACAGACUUUAGCCAACCCGAUUAACAGACCAAUCGCC